UGACGUGCAUGUUUCAAGAUUUCGUUCACUUGAUUGUCAGCCCAUCCUCCAAUCAGGGUUUGCUCAAUUCCCUGACAGAUCUCAGAUCUCAGGCCAGGGACCAGACAGGACUUUAGGACAGCUUCAAACGGUGAUUUUUUGAUUGUAUCAAACAACACUCUGGGAUUCUUCUU
Thalassophryne amazonica is the source of this 173-nucleotide long non-coding RNA. RefSeq lists it as uncharacterized. The transcript is spliced from 3 exons. The record is from RefSeq and is a predicted model, not a curated record. Lineage: Eukaryota; Metazoa; Chordata; Actinopteri; Batrachoidiformes; Batrachoididae.